Trachemys scripta elegans is the source of this 1578-nucleotide long non-coding RNA. RefSeq lists it as uncharacterized. The record is from RefSeq and is a predicted model, not a curated record. The transcript is spliced from 7 exons. Lineage: Eukaryota; Metazoa; Chordata; Testudines; Emydidae.
AUGGGGAGCCGAACGGCCUCUCCCUGGAGUGACAGAGGAAUAGACCAAUAAGAGACGUAGACAGCUCCUAGGUGGCCCAAUCAGGAAUCGGGAAAGGUGGAGGGUCUGUGCGCAAUCCGAAAGAGGAGAGGUUCUGAUGGAUCGGCAGCGCUUUGGACCAAUGAAAGUCGGCAACAGCUUCUGUCUGUCGGCGAUGUAAGCGAGGAGAGAGGGUGAAAAGUUAGGCGGAGCUUAAGGUGACUGGCAGAUGGAUGGACAACUUGUGUAUUGUCCAAUCAGCGCUUCACACACAGAGAUACGGGAGACGGAGGCGGGAUUUGGCGUGUAUGUGGAAGAGUGAGUACAACGAGAGGCUCCCCGUAGCUGGUUGCUGAAAGAUAUAUGUGGGAGAAAGAAUAGUAAUCAUGCUAAAGCCCAUAUCGCUAUAGCACAGUAAAACAGCAGAAGAUGCCAAAGGAAGAUGUCUUCAAGGAAAAGAAGGGAAGGAAUGUGAUGGAGGAAACCUGUCAAUCAAGAAGGGAAUGCUUUAGGGAAUGUGAGCUUCCUGCCUCAAAAUUUUGAAAUGGAAAAGGAAAACUUAUGAUGUAGGCGGGAUCCAUUUCUAGAAGUAUCCUUGUUAGAAUUGGAAACAUGCCUUAUUUGCCUGCUGAAUUAUUUUGUGAAUAUAUCAAUCUACAUUUCCUGGGAUUUUCUCUAGGAAACAGAUGCACCUUUUUGCACACACCCCUUUGAAGAAGUGGAAAGUGACCUGUUGUGUUUGUGGAAGCUCUGGAAUCCCACAGGAGAAGGAUCACUCAACACCAUGGCAAUCUGCCAAGUACAACUUGUUUUGAAACACAGUGGCUCUGAGAAGAUGCAUUAUCAUCUGAAACACAAUGUCAUCAUAGUGGGAGGAACAGGACAUGAACCGGCCUUCCACACUGCCCACCUGAUUGUUUUCUGUGAGGAGUCCAGCUACCAAUAUCUACAAGUGUCCUGCCCUUUGCUGCCUCCCGGGUUUGCUGUUCAUUGUUUUGGCAUCCAUGCAACUGGCAUUUGAACUAUACUGUAGCCCUCAGGGGAAGAAGUGACAGAUUUUUUUUAGGAUCAGCAGCUCUUUUUAAAAGAGAAAUUGCUAUUUCUUUUGUUAGAAGAGGUUAAAUUGUGAAACUGUCAAUUUUGAUUGUGUGGCUUUAAAUAAUUGAGUAUUAUAUAUAACAAGAUCUGAUCCCGCAAAUCCAUACUAGUGUGAGUAGUUAUUAGUCCAGUGGGAUCAUUUGCAAGACUAAGGAUUACUCUUGGGAGUAAGAGUCCAGUCCUACCCCACUAAAGGCAGUGUAAAAAAUUCACAGUGACGUAAACUGUACAGGACUUGGGGAGAGAAAGCACAGGUUUAUAGCUGCUUGAUAUUUGAGUUACCACCAAAGUCAAACCUCAAUACAGGGUUUUAUUUGGACUACAGACAAAGAGUAUCUUCUGCUCAGCCCAAAAUGGGAACUCCAUCUGCUUCUAAUGAAGGUGUAAGUAUGCUCCAAAACUUAAGGGACAGCAAAUGGAGGAAUCCUGCGGAAAGCCUUCAAUAUAAUAUAAAGAUGUUUC